Molecule: signal recognition particle RNA, 80 nt
Filed under: Melioribacter sp.
Lineage: Bacteria; Pseudomonadati; Ignavibacteriota; Ignavibacteria; Ignavibacteriales; Melioribacteraceae
Description: partial signal recognition particle sRNA small type
Rfam family: Bacterial small signal recognition particle RNA
About the family: The signal recognition particle (SRP) is a universally conserved ribonucleoprotein involved in the co-translational targeting of proteins to membranes. Archaeal SRP consists of a 7S RNA and homologues of the eukaryotic SRP19 and SRP54 proteins.
Source: RNAcentral
AGGUUAAUACCCAACCCCGCCAGGUCCGGAAGGAAGCAACGGUAAGUAUUUAACCUGGGUGGUCUUUUGGUCUGGCUUUU